UGGGUGCAAAACUUGUCAUCAACUACUCUUCCAACAGGGACCAGGCUCAACUUGUAGCCGAAGAGAUCAAUUCUUCUUUUCCUCACAAUCAUUCCCCUCGUGCCAUAACAGUCCAAGCCAACGUCUCCGAUCCAUCCCAUGUCAAGUCUCUUUUUGAUGAGGCUGAGAGGGUUUUUGGGUCGCCCGUUCAUGUCUUGGUGAACUCAGCUGGAGUGUUGGAUCCCAAGUAUCCAUCCAUAGCUAACACUUCCUUGGAGGAUUUUGACCUUACUUUCAGUGUUAACACGAAAGGUGCAUUCUUGUGCUGCAAAGAGGCGGCAAAUCGGCUCAAACGCGAUGGUGGUGGCCGAAUAAUAUUGGUAUCAUCAUCUAUGGUAGGUGGAUUGAAGCCAGGCUUUGGUGUAUAUGCAGCUUCAAAAGCAGCAGUAGAGACAAUGGUAAAGAUAUUAGCAAAGGAACUCAAGGGAACUGGGAUUACUGCAAAUUGCAUUGCACCAGGUCCUAUUGCAACAGAGAUGUAUUUUUCUGGGAAGACUGAGGAGCAAAUUCGGAAGAACAUAGAUGAGUGUCCACUAGGCCGGCUUGGCGAGACCAAGGACAUUGCACCUAUUGUUGGGUUCUUGGCUACUGAUGCUAGUGAGUGGAUUAAUGGACAGGUUAUUCGUGCCAAUGGUGGAUACGUUUAGGACUUGCAGAUGCACCAUACUGAAUACUGCAGGAAUUUGAAUAAGUGAUGCUUUGCAUUUCAAAAAUUUCAUAUGAAAUGGGUUUCUACGGGUUAUCAAAAUCCAUAUUGUUUUUGUAGCACCUUCAAUGAAUUAGUUUUCUCAAGUCUUCUUGUGGAAUGGGUUUUUUAUUAUGUUGAACAGUCCUUUCAGAAAGGAUCAAAGGAAUAAGGAUGCAAUUUUCAAUCUGUAUCAUCACUACAUGCAUUUGCUUGCUUGAAAGUAUGUGAGCCAAUGGUAACAGGCUCUAAGAAUGUAUCACUGAAUUCGAUCAGCUCCGUUGCCUUCUAUUAGCCAAAGGAAGGAAGCAAGCACACUGUAUGCUUCUAUUUCUGUUGAAUUAGAAACUUAGAAUGGAUUUAGCAAGUUUACAACUCAUUUGACUCUUUAAAUAUACUUAUUUUCUCAAAGGAUUUGUGGUGGAGAAUUUGGAUACAUCCUGGUGACAUUUACAGGAAUCUGAGGCUUCCCAUGCCUAUUCUGUGCAUAUAUGCUCUGUGCCAACACAGUGGAUAGCCCUAUAUCUGCUCAUUGCCUAUGUAUCAUGUAUGCUUAUCUUAGCCUAUUUUAGUAGAAAAUCUUAGAAAUGAGAUCUCAUGCCUUUUGCACGACUUGAAAUUGCCAAGCUAGACGGGCGGAAGAAACUUGGGAUGGUAGACAAUAUCAAGGUUGCAAGCCUUGCAAGUUACAACUACAUCUCUUGCUAUCUUUCAUCAAAAAAUGGUAUGCUCCUCCAAUCCAACCAAGCUCUUUCCAAGGCAUGAUUUUACAAGGUUCCAUGUCCAAAUUACAACAUAUUUGGGCCUGCCACCAGGGCUAUUUUGUUUUUUCAUUGGGUCUCCAUUAAUGCAGAUCCCUUCUCUUACUAUAUGUAGACAUGAUCUUCUCUCUCCAGGCGACUAACCCAAUUUUAAGUAUCUUGUCUUUUGCUUUGCAAAUUGACACAAUUCUGUGUCUUUUGGUUUCGGAUGAUUUAGGCUUUAAAGUGUCUUGGAUUGAUUGUUU
This 1730-nucleotide unclassified non-coding RNA is filed under the name Hevea brasiliensis (rubber tree). The record is from RNAcentral. Lineage: Eukaryota; Viridiplantae; Streptophyta; Magnoliopsida; Malpighiales; Euphorbiaceae.